AGUGUGAACACUACUGAUGGAUGGGUUCGUUCCAGUCCUCAGGAAAUCGCUGGACUCCAGUGAAAUUUAUGGAUUGAUCCAGGAAGUAAGAGAGAAGCAGAGUUCAGUGUAUCAUUAAAGUCACUACAGGAAGAAGGUCUUUUACACAGUCAACCUUACAG
Non-coding RNA from Penaeus vannamei (Pacific white shrimp), 161 nucleotides. The record is from RefSeq and is a predicted model, not a curated record. NCBI's taxonomy places the organism in Eukaryota, Metazoa, Arthropoda, Malacostraca, Decapoda, Penaeidae.